Molecule: ribosomal RNA, 418 nt
Filed under: Fusarium ananatum
Lineage: Eukaryota; Fungi; Ascomycota; Sordariomycetes; Hypocreales; Nectriaceae
Description: LSU rRNA
Rfam family: Eukaryotic large subunit ribosomal RNA
Source: RNAcentral
CCAACAGGGAUUGCCCUAGUAACGGCGAGUGAAGCGGCAACAGCUCAAAUUUGAAAUCUGGCUCUCGGGCCCGAGUUGUAAUUUGUAGAGGAUNCUUUUGAUGCGGUGCCUUCCGAGUUCCCUGGAACGGGACGCCAUAGAGGGUGAGAGCCCCGUCUGGUUGGAUGCCAAAUCUCUGUNANGUUCCUUCGACGAGUCGAGUAGUUUGGGAAUGCUGCUCUAAAUGGAAAAAANAUGUCUUCUAAAGCUAAAUNCCGGCCAGAGACCGAUAGCGCNCAAGUAGAGUGAUCGAAAGAUGANANGCACUUUGAAAAGAGAGUUAAAAAGUACGUGAAAUUGUUGAAAGGGAAGCGUUUAUGACCAGACUUGGGCUUGGUUAAUCAUCUGGGGUUCUCCCCAGUGCACUUUUCCAGUCCAG